This 270-nucleotide ribosomal RNA is filed under the name uncultured archaeon. RNAcentral describes it as "partial 16S ribosomal RNA". It matches the Rfam family "Archaeal small subunit ribosomal RNA", at positions 477 to 747 of the family's 1478-position model. The record is from RNAcentral.
CAGCACCUCAAGUGGUCAGGAUGAUUAUUGGGCCUAAAGCAUCCGUAGCCGGCUCUGUAAGUUUUCGGUUAAGUCUGUAUGCUCAACAUACAGGCUGCCGGGAAUACUGCAGAGCUAGGGAGUGGGAGAGGUAGACGGUACUCGGUAGGAAGGGGUAAAAUCCUUUGAUCUAUUGAUGACCACCUGUGGCGAAGGCGGUCUACCAGAACACGUCCGACGGUGAGGGAUGAAAGCUGGGGGAGCAAACCGGAUUAGAUACCCGAGUAGUCC